CGUAAAUUAACAAUGAAGCAUUUCAGAAUGUUGAAAAUUAAUCUAAGAAUGCUUUGGUAAUAUCAGUGUGUCAGUCUUGAGUUCAAUAUUUAUCAGAAUUCCAACGUAAGAUUUUGUUUUUCUUUUGCAAUUGUUUGUCUGUUUUCGUUGAUUCAUUUAUUAUUUGAGCUCAAAAAUAAUGAACAAUAUUUUCCCGGUAAGUUUAUUGGUUUCUUCUAUAGACAAAGAAGGAUUGAAUCAUUUAAAGCUCUACGCGGGUGCCGAUGUCCUGUGUAUGUAACACGCAAGAAAACUAUCAAUUCGGAGAAAGUGUGCCGGAGGUUCCAAAUCCAACAAUACUUUUUUCGGAUUUAUUUGGCGAUCAGAAAUUAAACAGACACAGGAAGCAAUAAACCGAGAAGAUCUUCGACAAAUAUUGCUGAUGGUUGCGGUAGCGUUGCUGCGAAAUGAGCUUCUAAGCAGUAAAUUACAAUUAGAAAUAAUUUUAUUAAAUAAAGAACUUUAUAACGUUGCCGUAAA
Aedes aegypti (yellow fever mosquito) is the source of this 519-nucleotide long non-coding RNA. RefSeq lists it as uncharacterized. The record is from RefSeq and is a predicted model, not a curated record. The transcript has 2 exons. Lineage: Eukaryota; Metazoa; Arthropoda; Insecta; Diptera; Culicidae.